Molecule: ribosomal RNA, 494 nt
Filed under: uncultured bacterium
Lineage: Bacteria
Description: partial 16S ribosomal RNA
Rfam family: Bacterial small subunit ribosomal RNA
Source: RNAcentral
GACGAACGCUGGCGGCGUGCUUAACACAUGCAAGUCGAACGGAAAGGCCUGCUUUCCCUUGUGGAUUGCGGGUACUCGAGUGGCGAACGGGUGAGUAACACGUGAGUGAUCUGCCCCCAACUUGGGUAUAAGCCUGGGAAACUGGGUCUAAUUCCCGAUAGUACUGCAGGGUGGUGCCUGUGGUGGAAAACGAUUCUCUAGUGGUUGGGGAUGAGCUCGCGGCCUAUCAGCUUGUUGGUGGGGUAAUGGCCUACCAAGGCGGCGACGGGUCGCCGGCCUGAGAGGGUGGACGGCCACAGUGGGAAUGAGAUACGGCCCAGACUCCUACGAGAGGCAGCAGUUAGGAAUAUGGAACAAUGGAAGGAAGCCUGAUGCAGCGACGCAGCGUGGGGGGUGACGGCGUACGGGUUGUAAACACCUUUCGACAGCGAGGAAGCCACCUGGUUGGAAGGGUUGAGACGGUAGUGAAAGAAGAAGCACCGGCUAAGUACGUG